GACGAACGCUGGCGGCGUGCUUAACACAUGCAAGUCGAACGGAAAGGCCCUGCUUUUGUGGGGUGCUCGAGUGGCGAACGGGUGAGUAACACGUGAGUAACCUGCCCUUGACUUUGUGAUAACUUCAGGAAACUGGGGCUAAUACCGGAUAUGAGCUCCUGCUGCAUGGUGGGGGUCGGAAAGUUUCGGCGGUUGUGGAUGGACUCGCGGCUUAUCCGCUUGUUGGUGGGGUAGUGGCUUACCAAGGGUUUGACGGGUAGCCGGCCUGAGAGGGUGACCGGCCACAUUGGGACUGAGAUACGGCCCAGACGCCUACGGGAGGCAGCAGUGGGGAAUAUUGCACAAUGGGCGGAAGCCUGAUGCAGAAACGCCGCGUGCGGGAUAACGGCCUUCGGGGUGUAAACCGAUUUCGCCUGUGACGAAGCGUGAGUGACGGUAAUGGGUAAAGAAGCACCGGCUAACUACGUG
RNAcentral lists this ribosomal RNA (468 nucleotides) under uncultured bacterium. RNAcentral describes it as "partial 16S ribosomal RNA". It matches the Rfam family "Bacterial small subunit ribosomal RNA", at positions 28 to 507 of the family's 1533-position model. The record is from RNAcentral.